GAUGAACGCUGGCGGCGUGCCUAAUACAUGCAAGUCGAGCGAACAGAUAAGGAGCUUGCUCCUUUGACGUUAGCGGCGGACGGGUGAGUAACACGUGGAUAACCUACCUAUAAGACUGGGAUAACUUCGGGAAACCGGAGCUAAUACCGGAUAACAUAUUGAACCGCAUGGUUCAAUAGUGAAAGGCGGCUUUGCUGUCACUUAUAGAUGGAUCCGCGCCGUAUUAGCUAGUUGGUAAGGUAACGGCUUACCAAGGCAACGAUACGUAGCCGACCUGAGAGGGUGAUCGGCCACACUGGAACUGAGACACGGUCCAGACUCCUACGGGAGGCAGCAGUAGGGAAUCUUCCGCAAUGGGCGAGAGCCUGACGGAGCAACGCCGCGUGAGUGAUGAAGGUCUUCGGAUCGUAAAACUCUGUUAUCAGGGAAGAACAAAUGUGUAAGUAACUGUGCACAUCUUGACGGUACCUGAUCAGAAAGCCACGGCUAACUACGUG
Molecule: ribosomal RNA, 497 nt
Filed under: uncultured bacterium
Lineage: Bacteria
Description: partial 16S ribosomal RNA
Rfam family: Bacterial small subunit ribosomal RNA
Source: RNAcentral